AAGGUAUACCGUGAGGAGUGCUGGAGCGUUAAGAAGUGAGAAUGCCGGUAUGAGUAGCGCAAGAUAAGUGAGAAUCUUAUCCACCGUAAGACUAAGGUUUCCAGGGGAAGGCUCGUCCGCCCUGGGUUAGUCGGGACCUAAGGCGAGGCCGAAAGGCGUAGUCGAUGGACAACUGGUUGAUAUUCCAGUACUAGAUAUGAUCGUGAUGGAGGGACGCAGUAGGCUAAGAGAUGCCAGUUAAUGGAUUCUGGUCUAAGCAGUGAGGUGUGAGAUGUGUCAAAUGCAUUUCUCUCUAACAUUGAGCUGUGAUGGGGAAGCAACUACGGUUGCGAACUCUCUGAUGUCACACUGCCAAGAAAAGCUUCUAGCGUAAAGUCAUAUCUACCCGUACCGCAAACCGACACAGGUAGUCGAGGCGAGUAGCCUCAGGUGAUCGAGAGAACUCUCGUUAAGGAACUCGGCAAAAUAGCCCCGUAACUUCGGGAGAAGGGGUGCUGGUGUAAAAGCCAGCCGCAGUGAAU
RNAcentral lists this ribosomal RNA (521 nucleotides) under Staphylococcus cohnii. RNAcentral describes it as "partial 23S ribosomal RNA". It matches the Rfam family "Bacterial large subunit ribosomal RNA", at positions 1253 to 1787 of the family's 2925-position model. The record is from RNAcentral. Lineage: Bacteria; Bacillati; Bacillota; Bacilli; Caryophanales; Staphylococcaceae.